RNAcentral lists this ribosomal RNA (253 nucleotides) under uncultured bacterium. Its description in RNAcentral is "partial 16S ribosomal RNA". It matches the Rfam family "Bacterial small subunit ribosomal RNA", at positions 524 to 776 of the family's 1533-position model. The record is from RNAcentral.
UACGUAGGGGGCGAGCGUUGUCCGGAUUUAUUGGGCGUAAAGAGCGUGUAGGCGGUUAGGUAGGUCCGUUGUGAAAACUCGAGGCUCAACCUCGAGACGCCGAUGGAAACCAUCUAACUAGAGUCCGGAAGAGGAGAGUGGAAUUCCUGGUGUAGCGGUGAAAUGCGCAGAUAUCAGGAGGAACACCGAUGGCGAAGGCAGCUCGCUGGGACGGUACUGACGCUGAGGCGCGAAAGCGUGGGGAGCGAACAGG